RNAcentral lists this ribosomal RNA (460 nucleotides) under uncultured bacterium. RNAcentral's name for it is "partial 16S ribosomal RNA". It matches the Rfam family "Bacterial small subunit ribosomal RNA", at positions 338 to 795 of the family's 1533-position model. The record is from RNAcentral.
CCUACGGGGGGCAGCAGUGAGGAAUAUUGGUCAAUGGACGAGAGUCUGAACCAGCCAAGUAGCGUGAAGGAUGACUGCCCUAUGGGUUGUAAACUUCUUUUAUAUGGGAAUAAAACGUUCCACGUGUGGGAUUUUGUAUGUACCAUAUGAAUAAGGAUCGGCUAACUCCGUGCCAGCAGCCGCGGUAAUACGGAGGAUCCGAGCGUUAUCCGGAUUUAUUGGGUUUAAAGGGAGCGUAGGUGGAUUGUUAAGUCAGUUGUGAAAGUUUGAGGCUCAAACGUAAAAUUGCAGUUGAAACUGGCAGUCUUGAGUACAGUAGCGGUGGGCGGAAUUCGUGGUGUAGCGGUGAAAUGCUUAGAUAUCACGAAGAACUCCGAUUGCGAAGGCAGUUCACUGGACUGCAACUGACACUGAGGCUCGAAAGUGUGGGUAUCAAACAGGAUUAGAUACCCGAGUAGUC